This 496-nucleotide ribosomal RNA is filed under the name uncultured bacterium. RNAcentral's name for it is "partial 16S ribosomal RNA". It matches the Rfam family "Bacterial small subunit ribosomal RNA", at positions 28 to 506 of the family's 1533-position model. The record is from RNAcentral.
GAUGAACGCUGGCGGCGUGCCUAAUACAUGCAAGUCGAGCGAACAGACGAGGAGCUUGCUCCUCUGACGUUAGCGGCGGACGGGUGAGUAACACGUGGAUAACCUACCUAUAAGACUGGGAUAACUUCGGGAAACCGGAGCUAAUACCGGAUAAUAUAUUGAACCGCAUGGUUCAAUAGUGAAAGACGGUUUUGCUGUCACUUAUAGAUGGAUCCGCGCCGCAUUAGCUAGUUGGUAAGGUAACGGCUUACCAAGGCGACGAUGCGUAGCCGACCUGAGAGGGUGAUCGGCCACACUGGAACUGAGACACGGUCCAGACUCCUACGGGAGGCAGCAGGAGGGAAUCUGCCGCAAUGGGCGAAAGCCUGACGGAGCAACGCCGCGUGAGUGAUGAAGGUCUUCGGAUCGUAAAACUCUGUUAUUAGGGAAGAACAAAUGUGUAAGUAACGAUGCACGUCUUGACGGUACCGAAGCAGAAAGCCACGGCUAACUACGU